Long non-coding RNA from Mya arenaria, 175 nucleotides. RefSeq lists it as uncharacterized. The transcript is spliced from 3 exons. The record is from RefSeq and is a predicted model, not a curated record. NCBI's taxonomy places the organism in Eukaryota, Metazoa, Mollusca, Bivalvia, Myida, Myidae.
GAUUUCCGCUUGUCUUAAAGAAGCGAGCGCAUUGGAAUGUUUAGACUGCAUUGAUGUCGCUGAUCCGAAAAUGUGCAAUAACACUAUAUCCUGUGCUUCUGAUGAGUCCUGCUUUGUACAAGCGACACAGACAUCACCUGUCACGCGAUACCAGAUGGGCUGCCAAAUAAAUCAG